GCGCCAUCUGUUGGUUUGAAAAGAUAUUUAAGUACGUGCAUGAUAUACCUACCAUUUACAAAAAAAUCUGUAUAUAUUUAUCGGAAUAUGAAAAGCAGAUACCCACAGACCAGUCAAGUAAGCCAGAGAAAUCUUGUAGUGAUAGUCCAAGCCGUCUUGGGCUAGCCUCCUGACGUGAUCAGAUAGCUAGAAACUCUCCUUCCUGUGUAAGCUUGGUGACGAGUUACUACAAAGAAAAUUUCAACUGUCCUUCCUGUGUAAGCUUGGUGACGAGUUACUACAAAGAAAAUGUCAACUGUCCUUCCUGUGAUUAAGAUUGGAGAUUUUAUGCGAUUUUGAAGAUCGAGUUGAUAAACUGCAGAAGUCUAGGGUGAUUUAUGAACCCAAGUGCCCGAGAUGUAACCUGGAAUAUGUAGGAUCUGCCAGGACGAAACUUGAAAGUCGUAUAACAGAACACUGAAACUUGCGAACCAGUUACUUUACUAGCGUUACAUCACAUGUUUUGGAAGAUUGUAACGUACUUUCGACAUAAAGUCAUUUUAACAUAUUAAUGCAAGGUCAACAUGAAAGAAAAUGACGACUUUUGGUAGCCUUGACCACAUUGGAUAGGAAACUAGCUUUCAACCUGAAGACCGGUAUUUUACUAU
Limulus polyphemus (Atlantic horseshoe crab) is the source of this 647-nucleotide long non-coding RNA. RefSeq lists it as uncharacterized. NCBI's taxonomy places the organism in Eukaryota, Metazoa, Arthropoda, Merostomata, Xiphosura, Limulidae. The record is from RefSeq and is a predicted model, not a curated record. The transcript is spliced from 3 exons.